This 148-nucleotide non-coding RNA is filed under the name Chlorocebus sabaeus (green monkey). Lineage: Eukaryota; Metazoa; Chordata; Mammalia; Primates; Cercopithecidae. The record is from Rfam by way of RNAcentral.
GCUGGGCGUGGUGGCGCAUGCCUGUAGUCCCAGUUGCCCUGGAGGCUGAGGCAGGAGAAUUGCUUGAACCCGGGAGGUGGAGGUUGCAGUGAGCCGAGAUCAUGCCACUGCACUCCAGCCUGGGCAACAGAGCAAGACUCUGUCUCAC